CGUCCUCAGCAGCGGGAGGACCGGUGCCCAGGCGAGCAGGGCUUCCGCGGCGCUGAGGCUGGGCUCCAGGUCUCCGGGCUCACUGCGGGGCCAGGUUUCCUCUCCCCGAGCUCUGGGUCAGAAAAGGCGACCAGAACCACCGCUAAGCCCCGCGUCCUGCGCGGCCCCCACCCCUGGACACAGGUGACCGGCGGAACCCGAGCGUUUCUAAGGGAGACAAGCCCUCUCCUCCCGGGAACCUGGGAACACGCCAGAGCUGCCUUUGUAACCACACAGGCGUGGAGUCACCUGAGCAGGAACCGGGAAGAAACCUCACACCCGACGGCCUGGCCUGCCAGUGGAGCGAGCAGGGAGACCACAGAGGAGAGGACCGGGCACAGCUCCACGGGUCCUGAGGCCUUGGGGCUUCCAGAACAGGGUUUCUUUCAGGUGCUUGCUGACCUCAAGCAUAAACCCAGGAGCUCCGUGGCCAGUCUGUCAACGUCCUAGAAAACUAAAGAAAGUGGUGGGGCACAUUCAGCAUCAAGAACAAGGGGCACCAACUCAACUCUGACCCCUGUAUGUGUCUGCCUUCAACAGGAAGCCUGAGGCCCUGUUAUCCUGUGCUGAAUGAGGGGCACCACUCUGGAUAGGAUCUCCAAUUCAUACAGCAUAUGAACUGACCACGUGCCAGUCAAGGGCAUCUUGACUGGCUUAAAGCUGCAAAACCACACUACAGGUACAGUGCAUCUCAUGGUCUUUAUUAGAAGCUGCCCAACAUUGGCGUGAAAUCCCUACUGCUGCCUGGAUUCACCCAUUUCCCUACCGUGCCCCUGGAAAGUAACCGUAUCAUGGACCUGCACCAAUACCAGUGUGUCCAAGGAGGAAGAAUAAAAUGCAAAUCCAGAUUUACAGAGCAGACGACCAGUUCCCACUAUUUUUCAACACUGGUCAAAUAAAAAUGAACUGA
Talpa occidentalis (Iberian mole) is the source of this 949-nucleotide long non-coding RNA. RefSeq lists it as uncharacterized. The transcript has 4 exons. NCBI's taxonomy places the organism in Eukaryota, Metazoa, Chordata, Mammalia, Eulipotyphla, Talpidae. The record is from RefSeq and is a predicted model, not a curated record.